RNAcentral lists this ribosomal RNA (499 nucleotides) under uncultured bacterium. RNAcentral's name for it is "bacterial SSU rRNA". It matches the Rfam family "Bacterial small subunit ribosomal RNA", at positions 29 to 518 of the family's 1533-position model. The record is from RNAcentral.
AGUGAACGCUGGCGGUAGGCCUAACACAUGCAAGUCGAACGGCAGCACAGGAGAGCUUGCUCUCUGGGUGGCGAGUGGCGGACGGGUGAGGAAUACAUCGGAAUCUACUCUGUCGUGGGGGAUAACGUAGGGAAACUUACGCUAAUACCGCAUACGACCUACGGGUGAAAGUGGGGGACCGCAAGGCCUCACGCGAUUGAAUGAGCCGAUGUCGGAUUAGCUAGUUGGCGGGGUAAGGCCCACCAAGGCGACGAUCCGUAGCUGGUCUGAGAGGAUGAUCAGCCACACUGGAACUGAGACACGGUCCAGACUCCUACGGGAGGCAGCAGUGGGGAAUAUUGGACAAUGGGCGCAAGCCUGAUCCAGCCAUACCGCGUGAGUGAAGAAGGCCCUCGGGUUGUAAAGCUCUUUUGUUGGGAAAGAAAUCCCAUCGGUUAAUACCUGGUGGGAUGACGGUACCCAAAGAUAAGCACCGGCUAACUUCGUGCCAGCAGCCGAC